UAACGGAUAUUGGGCAAUGGGCGUAAGCCUGACCCAGCGACGCCGCGUGUGGGAAGAAGGUCUUCGGAUCGUAAACCACUGUCAGGGGCUACCAAGCGACCGCGAGCAAUAUGCGCGGAAGUUGAGGAACCCCAGAGGAAGCCACGGCUAACUUCGUGCCAGCAGCCGCGGUAAGACGAAGGUGGCGAGCGUUGUUCGGAAUCACUGGGCUUAAAGAGCACGUAGGCGGGCUAUCAAGCACCUUGUGAAAUCCCCCGGCUCAACCGGGGAACCGCUGGGUGAACGGAUAGCCUUGAGUGUGGAAGAGGGUCGUGGAAUUCCCAGUGUAGAGGUGAAAUUCGUAGAUAUUGGGAAGAACACCGGUGGCGAAGGCGGCGACCUGGUCCAUUACUGACGCUGAGGCGCGAAAGCGUGGGGAGCAAACAGG
This 427-nucleotide ribosomal RNA is filed under the name uncultured bacterium. RNAcentral describes it as "bacterial SSU rRNA". It matches the Rfam family "Bacterial small subunit ribosomal RNA", at positions 355 to 776 of the family's 1533-position model. The record is from RNAcentral.